Molecule: unclassified non-coding RNA, 351 nt
Filed under: Hevea brasiliensis (rubber tree)
Lineage: Eukaryota; Viridiplantae; Streptophyta; Magnoliopsida; Malpighiales; Euphorbiaceae
Source: RNAcentral
GGGAAUGCUGAUGGAUGGGCCUUCAAGGGUGCAGAACCAGAAUUGCAGUUCAGAGAUUUUAAGAUUAGGACUGAAAAUGGGCCAGCAGUGAAUUCUAAUGUGACCAAUUCCAGCUGGAACACAUUGAGUUUGGAUGAAGGUUCAAAUUCAAAAUUAAAUGGGGUGAAUUUGGACAAAAAGCAAGUGAAUUUGGAUUUAUUUGAUGAAAAUUAUGAUCUUGGGUGCAAUGAUGGAUGGGAAUUCAAGACUGCAGAAUCAGGAUCCAGGCUUGGAGAUGAGAAUACUAAGGCUGAUGGGAGAAUGCAAGAAAAUUUCAAUGGAGCACUUUACACAUUUGGUUUUGGCAAUGGU